UACGUAGGGGGCAAGCGUUGUCCGGAAUCAUUGGGCGUAAAGCGCGUGUAGGCGGCCCGGUAAGUCCGCUGUGAAAGUCGGGGGCUCAACCCUCGGAUGCCGGUGGAUACUGUCGGGCUCGAGUACGGAAGAGGCGAGUGGAAUUCCUGGUGUAGCGGUGAAAUGCGCAGAGUAUCAAGGAAGAACACCCGUGGCGGAAGGCGGCUCCUCUGGGACGGUACU
This 222-nucleotide ribosomal RNA is filed under the name uncultured bacterium. RNAcentral describes it as "partial 16S ribosomal RNA". It matches the Rfam family "Bacterial small subunit ribosomal RNA", at positions 524 to 741 of the family's 1533-position model. The record is from RNAcentral.